Molecule: transfer RNA, 71 nt
Filed under: Marmota monax (woodchuck)
Lineage: Eukaryota; Metazoa; Chordata; Mammalia; Rodentia; Sciuridae
Rfam family: tRNA
About the family: Transfer RNA (tRNA) molecules are approximately 80 nucleotides in length. Their secondary structure includes four short double-helical elements and three loops (D, anti-codon, and T loops).
Source: Rfam by way of RNAcentral
GUUUUUGUGGCUCAGUGGUAGAGCACCCACCUAGCACGUGCGAGGCACUGGGUUCGAUCCUCAGCAACACA